Manis javanica (Malayan pangolin) is the source of this 505-nucleotide non-coding RNA. The record is from RefSeq and is a predicted model, not a curated record. NCBI's taxonomy places the organism in Eukaryota, Metazoa, Chordata, Mammalia, Pholidota, Manidae.
CAAAACAGAGAAAAGAAUGCACAUGGUGGACCAGGUCAGCACAAGACCCUAGGGACACAAAGUUUAUUAACAGGCACUCGCGUUCCUCACUCAUUACACCAAGAGAAGCCAGUAAGACAAAAGAGCUGAUGCAAACUCCUGCCACUACUGGAAAAGCAGCUCGAAAGACAAGCCUUGAUGACUAAGUGGAAGGUGUGUCAACUAGCUGGUCUGUUAAGUGAGUUCCAAGUGGAGCUUUUCCUAUAAUGUAUGUGACCUUCUCUCCAUACCCCUGGCUGGAUGGACAACAUUAACGUAUCAAUGGAGAGUGUUUUCAAACCUGUGAAAGAGGGUGUCAAGGCUUUGGCAAACUUGUAAGCAAAGGCUGGAGUAUUGUUUUGUUUGACGUCUAGCAAGUUGAGUAGAGAAAUAUUAUUCAUGCCAGGACAAGAAAUGGAAGCCAGCCCCAAAUCCAAGGGAAGGAGGAUUCUUCCCCAUUCAAAGGCUGAGACCCAGAAGUUUGGGG